CAGAAAUGAAGCCCGUGAGAGGAAGCAGCUCGAUUCAUUCCCGCGGGAGCUUCGGACGGACAGAAGAGACACGAUCGGAAUGAAAAGAGGGAGAAGGACGCGGACGCAGCAGGAAUUUAACUGGAAUUUCAGUUCCAUUCUGAAUGGCGCACAAUCCUACUAAAUGUGAGAUAUCUGGGAUUUACAGCAUCUAAUUUCCGUGACAAAUAAUGAAGAAGAAAAUCACAAACACACUGUGUGGUGUUUGGAGACCGAAUAAAAAUAAGAGUGAGCAACAAACCGAGUCACUUCACAGACUGACCACUGAGUGGCGCUGUUCCUUUACAUGAAGACAGGAACCACGUCAAACCUGCAACACUGUACCCUUCUGAGAGUGAGUGCACUUGAGAAGAACUGAAUCUGACAAUGAGAAAGUGUGUGUCUUUCCUGCUGGUAACAGGGUGAGGUUUACUGAAACCAAACCAGGCAGAUGGGUUUCCUCACCUUGACCAAACUCAUGUGUGCAGUUCCACGACCUUUGCCCUCGUGACGCCGCUCACCUGGCAACCACAGCAAACCUCGCCAGUUGGAUCCAAGUUGCCAUCUGUGCAGCAUCCACCACAUCUCUCUCUCUCUCUCACACACACACACACACACACACACACACACACACACACACACACACACACACACACACACACACACAGUUCAUCUCGUGGAAUAAUGGAUGACUGUAGAGUAGAUCAAAC
Molecule: long non-coding RNA, 728 nt
Organism: Cyprinus carpio carpio
Lineage: Eukaryota; Metazoa; Chordata; Actinopteri; Cypriniformes; Cyprinidae
Source: Ensembl